GAGUUUGAUCAUGGCUCAGAUUGAACGCUGGCGGCAGGCCUAACACAUGCAAGUCGAGCGGUAGAGAGAAGCUUGCUUCUCUUGAGAGCGGCGGACGGGUGAGUAAUGCCUAGGAAUCUGCCUGGUAGUGGGGGAUAACGCUCGGAAACGGACGCUAAUACCGCAUACGUCCUACGGGAGAAAGCAGGGGGACCUUCGGGCCUUGCGCUAUCAGAUGAGCCUAGGUCGGAUUAGCUAGUUGGUGAGGUAAUGGCUCACCAAGGCGACGAUCCGUAACUGGUCUGAGAGGAUGAUCAGUCACACUGGAACUGAGACACGGUCCAGACUCCUACGGGAGGCAGCAGUGGGGAAUAUUGGACAAUGGGCGAAAGCCUGAUCCAGCCAUGCCGCGUGUGUGAAGAAGGUCUUCGGAUUGUAAAGCACUUUAAGUUGGGAGGAAGGGCAGUAAAUUAAUACUUUGUCUGUUUUGACGUUACCGACAGAAUAAGCACCGGCUAACUCUGUGCCAG
RNAcentral lists this ribosomal RNA (509 nucleotides) under uncultured bacterium. RNAcentral describes it as "bacterial SSU rRNA". It matches the Rfam family "Bacterial small subunit ribosomal RNA", at positions 9 to 511 of the family's 1533-position model. The record is from RNAcentral.